Molecule: ribosomal RNA, 368 nt
Filed under: uncultured bacterium
Lineage: Bacteria
Description: bacterial SSU rRNA
Rfam family: Bacterial small subunit ribosomal RNA
Source: RNAcentral
AGCGAACGCUGGCGGCAGGCUUAACACAUGCAAGUCGAACGAAUCCUUCGGGAUUAGUGGCGGACGGGUGAGUAACACGUGGGAACGUGCCUUUUGGUUCGGAACAACACAGGGAAACUUGUGCUAAUACCGGAUGUGCCCUUCGGGGAAGAUUUAUCGCCAUUAGAGCGGCCCGCGUCUGAUUAGCUUGUUGGUGAGGUAAAGGCUCACCAAGGCUACGAUCAGUAGCGUGGUCGAGAGGAUGAUCAGCCACACUGGGACUGAGACACGGCCCAGACUCCUACGGGAGGCAGCAGUGGGAAUCUUGCGCAAUGGGGGAAACCCUGACGCAGCCAGUGCCGCGUGAAUGAUGAAGGUCUUAGGAUUGU